GGUAAACUAAGCUCAAAUAAGGGAAUUAUUUAAUCUAAUAAAAAACAAAUAGAAAUUUAUAAAAAGCCUGGAACUUUUAAGAUAAAUGAAAAUGCCAAACUAUCACAAUGUCUCACAUAGAACUCCUAAAAAUGCAAGGCAGCAACAUUAAACUCCUAAUGAUUCAAUAUGACCUCAAAGUGUUAUCAUAAAAAUUAUAACAAUUUGAACUCUUAAUAUUCCACUUUUUACCUUCACACUUGUUUUGAGACCAAAAAAUAAACAAGCUAGCUUUUAAUGGGAUAUCACUGCCCCACAAAUUCCGUACGUCUAACCAAUAAAUUUGGAAACUUAGACAAGGCAUUAGAGGAAAAUCUCCAGGUGUAGCAAAGAGAAAUCACACCUUUGUUU
This 390-nucleotide unclassified non-coding RNA is filed under the name Hevea brasiliensis (rubber tree). The record is from RNAcentral. Lineage: Eukaryota; Viridiplantae; Streptophyta; Magnoliopsida; Malpighiales; Euphorbiaceae.